Molecule: long non-coding RNA, 782 nt
Organism: Eucalyptus grandis
Lineage: Eukaryota; Viridiplantae; Streptophyta; Magnoliopsida; Myrtales; Myrtaceae
Exons: 3
Source: RefSeq, a predicted model, not a curated record
AUCUUGGCAAAUACGACAACUAAAUUUCAAUGAACUUGCAGAUUAUAAUCUAUUUAAAUCUGACUUUCUCAUUAAACUUCACAAUUCAUCUUUCUUCUAUUUAAAUCUUACACCAUCUCAAAGAACUUUUUCAUUUUCUUUGUUGUAAAGGAAAGGCGGGGAGGAGUAAUCAGGGAGACUAUACUUUGUUGCUCUAUUGAGUAAUACUAAAAUUCCCACGUCUGCCACGAAGUGUUGUGAUUUAAAAUUGCAAGAAGGUCGUCAUCCAAUACCACUCACAACCCAGUUAUCUUGGACUUUUGGAUGAGAAAUGUGAGGACUGUGGAAAGACUGUCAAUGGUGGAGGAUGUAAGAAGCAUGGACUAUUAUGUUUCCCUUGUCUCUAAUUUCUCCUUGGAUGAGAAACAUGAGGAACAUGGAAAGAUUAUCAAGUGGUCUACCUCUCCUCUCUCAAACAGCUAUCUUUUGUAGGUUUUAUUGGUACUUGCCAGAGGAUGGCUUUGCUCCCUACUCCGAGUAUUCAGGAUAGUGCGUUGUGAAAUUCUGAAAGAUCUAUGCUCAAAACUCAAUAGUGGUGACUGUUGGCACCCCAUCCAAGAAAUCCCACUCGUUGUGGUUGAUUGAGUUAAGAUUCAAUAAGAAGAUUUCUCUGCAAUGUCUAAUUUUUAUUCUUCAGAAUAUCUCGCUGUCUUCUUUAUUUGGCAAACUCUCUCAGAAGGAUCAAAUGCAAACACUGUUGAGGUAGGCAAAUGAUGUGCUUAUGUUCAUCUUUUGCAACUUGA